UACAAAACCGUAACUACACUCUUUACCUAGAAAGACUCGGCAUACUUUGCAAAUAGUUGGCAUAUUACAGAAAUGUGCUAAAGUAGAUAUAUAUUCGCUUUCUGUAACAAUAAGAAAGGCAAGAAUAUGCAGCUAUAAUAUUUCCCCAGUGAAGAAAAAGGAGAUAAACUGUUUGGAACAGUUUCCUUAAACUUAGAAUCCUGGAUCAUGCAAGGUAUAUUGAAAGUUACUUCUGAAAUAUUACCAGUGCAUGAAUCAACAAUUUUGAUAGUUGAGAGAGGGAUUAGAGUGAUUUGCACAUGGAAAAAAAAAACACAAGAUAAGCCUGACUGCAUUGUAACAAUUUUGAUCUCUUCGUGACAGAAUAGUUUUCAGAUUUUGAACUAACGAUAAUAAACACUGAAGAAGUUGGCCAGGAAGUCAUUUCUCUUCAUGCCACCACCUGUCUAAAAUGGAAGACCCACAGAUUUCUCCCUAGGGUGAUUUCUGUGUAAGUUGACUUUGUUUUAAAUACACUUAAUUGGCUUAUGUUUGCCAAUCAAUAAAGGACAGACAUAUCUUAUUUCACAAGUACACUGUUACAACCAAUAGAACUAUUUUCAAAUAUAUCUUUUAGAUUAAAAUGUUUAAAAGUAUUUUACAAAAAUAAGGUAAAAUAAAUUACAUUUUUAAUGAACAGAUAUAAAAUCCAUGAACCGAACACAUAACAUUGAUACAGAGAAAAUAUAUUAAUCUAAAGGCCAGUUAACUACCACAGUGGCAUGAAGCUUCAAGUAAAUUACUAGGCACUUUUUGCCCAAAUAACAGUCACACAUUCAGUGGAGAAGUCCAGCUGAGAGAAAUGCCUGAAAUUUUCUAAAGUUUUCUAAAAUUCUAAAUUCCCCAUAGAACUGCAAAUAAAAAGGUAACAACAAAAAGGCCAGGUAUUAUGCCAUGCAGAACAGCCGUUGUUAGCUGCCUUUCUUCAGUUCAGCUUUGCAGGAGUUCUAAAAACGGUUUUAACAACUCAGCCCUCAUCAGCUUAUAUGGGCAUUUCUUUUACAGAUUUACACGUCAAAGUAGAGAGGCAAUGCACCUACAGACACACUGCAAAAACAGGUAAGAAGAAAGGCUGUGGGGUUAUAUGUGAGUACAAAAAAGCAGAACAUACUUGAAUUUAGCACUUAUUUGAAGCAACACAUUUGAAAAAGUGCACAGUACUUGCAGAAUACUGAGAAGUCUGCAUUACUUGCAGAAUACUGUGCUCAUUACUGACCAAUUUCUAAUCGUGUGAACAACCCCAGCAUCACAAAGACCCCCAAAAGUUAGAAGCUAAAUCUUUCAGCAAACAAAAAAAGGCCUGUCACGUGGCAAUUUAAGUACCAGUAACGCACACAAACUAUUAUGAUAAAAUAGCUAAAAUAUCUAAAAAAAA
Oxyura jamaicensis (ruddy duck) is the source of this 1414-nucleotide long non-coding RNA. RefSeq lists it as uncharacterized. The record is from RefSeq and is a predicted model, not a curated record. The transcript has 2 exons. Lineage: Eukaryota; Metazoa; Chordata; Aves; Anseriformes; Anatidae.